GAUUUCAGUAUCUUGGAAACCUGGUUUGUUGAUCCUCAAACUUUCAACAUCUUUCAUCAGUUACAGCACAAUUAAUAACAUUCAAGAUUCAAAGAAAGCAAACAUCUACCAAAUGAACUGUCCUUCAGUUUUAAAUUGUGCGGUCAUGUGUAAUCAUCUCUUCGUUUUAGCCGAAUAAGACAAGUCCUUGGUCUCAACAGACAUGUCUUGUUAUCGGUCGGACAAUGCCGGCAUGGUAGUUGUUCUUUGGAUUACCUAACACUAAAGGAGACAAGAGGUUUAUGAUGUCAUAGAGAGGUCCACACACGUUAUUAUUUAUCUUAUACUGGGUCUUUAUAUAUUGGCUUGUUGAUAUUGUUUAAGCUUGGCUUGUGCACCAAUUUUCUUUUGUAAACAUCAUAAUGUAUGCUUAGGAUGUUUUGGAUUAAAGUUAUAUAUAGAUAUGGGGAGUAAUUAAAUUGGAAUAUAUUAAUAUAUAGCAUCGACUAAUCCCACAUCUCCUUUAGGCUUAUUAACAUUUCUUUGCAUGUUAUUUUUCACGUUUUACACCAUUUUGCAUUUGCUAUAGGGGUGCUAUAUUUAAUAUAUUCUGAUGUUUGGUUUAUCUUAGAUUUUUAAUGCGUUUAACGUAUAUUGCAAAUUUCUCUUGAGGACCUAGUAAAGAUAAUCGGAUAUAACGUGUUUCUAUGAUAAACUUAGAUGUAUUGUUGAUAGUGUGGUCUAGAGAACUUACGGAUACAGAACCGUGUAGAUACUUUUGAAAGGGGCGUAUAAAGACGGCGUUAGUAAUGUUGAUACAUUGCCUGAAGUUGUGGAUGAGCAGGGGCACGGAGCAUAUAAUACAUGGAGGUAUUGUACAGUCAAUUGUAACGCAAUUAUUAGGACCAGAGUCAAGACGCCGAAUGAUCUGUAUGAUGAUCACCAAAGGAGUAGGAGAACACUGACAGGGUAGGCAAUAAUACCAAACAUAUUUUAGUUAUUUCUUAAAGAUACAUUAUGAGAGAUUAGAUAAAGAGCUGUCAGUU
Patella vulgata (common limpet) is the source of this 1025-nucleotide long non-coding RNA. RefSeq lists it as uncharacterized. Lineage: Eukaryota; Metazoa; Mollusca; Gastropoda; Patellidae. The transcript is spliced from 6 exons. The record is from RefSeq and is a predicted model, not a curated record.